RNAcentral lists this transfer RNA (75 nucleotides) under Verrucomicrobiota bacterium. Its description in RNAcentral is "Verrucomicrobia bacterium (hot springs metagenome) tRNA-Glu". It matches the Rfam family "tRNA". From Rfam's summary of the family: Transfer RNA (tRNA) molecules are approximately 80 nucleotides in length. Lineage: Bacteria; Pseudomonadati; Verrucomicrobiota. The record is from RNAcentral.
GCCCUCAUCGUCUAGCGGCUAGGACACCAGAUUCUCAAUCUGGGAACAGGGGUUCGAUUCCCCUUGGGGGUACCA